Non-coding RNA from Podarcis muralis (Common wall lizard), 1137 nucleotides. NCBI's taxonomy places the organism in Eukaryota, Metazoa, Chordata, Lepidosauria, Squamata, Lacertidae. The record is from RefSeq and is a predicted model, not a curated record.
AAAACCAAGGUAUGACUGUAUAAGUUCAGUACACACCACCAAUCUAGACAUAGUGUAGGUACCCCUGGAGAGCCUGCAAAUCACUGGAGCACCCUCGAUGUAGAUUUCCUCUCCCAACAUCCCCCCUGCCCUGUUAGGCCUGAUGGAUCCGGGUUGUUAAGAAUGGGAUCACGCAGUCUUAAGCCUAAUACAUUGUGUGGCAAUGUUCCAAUUUUAACAGCGAGAGAACAAGGAGGAAAAAAUAAAAAAAACCAGAAGAAGAUGUCUGUCUAGCCUGAGCCAACUUGCUGGAAACACAUCUGGUUAAAAUUCAAGGUUUUAAAUCUGCAGUAAUAUUUUAGAAAUACAUUUGCAGCCUCAAGUGCUACCUUCAGCGUGGGAAGGAAACGGAAGGGCCUCAUUGUGGCUUUUCACUGCUAAGAAAUGGUUCGUGUUGGUAGAAUUAGCACUUAUACAUCACCAAAAAAUGAGGAGCAAAGAAGUCACAGAAAAUCUGCAUGUUUCUAUUUAUACAUAUAGGUGGGGAUUCACAAUUAAAAUAUGAACACAAUCCAUUUCACCAUUGCAGGAAUGACCAUAAGCAGGUGAGCUCUGUUGCCUGGCCAGUUGGCUGUCCAGUUGCUAACUGCUUCAGUCUUCCUUAGCUGUGACUCCUGCACUACACAGGUUUGGACUUCUCCAACUCAACAGUCCUAUGAUUCUGCGAUUCUGCUAGUCUCCCUCCUUAGAGCUUUCAUCUUCAUCUUUAAACUGCCCUUGGACUGGACAGCCCUUCCAAUAGAGGAUUGUCCUCUAUUGUCCUAAGGGAACUAAGGGUAGAGCGUCUGCUUUUCUGUGAGCGUGCCCAUAGCAGAGAGGCAGGGGGAACCACCUGCAGCAGUGGCAGGACAUGCCCAUAGCAGAGAUGGUGGCAGGGGUGUGGCGGCAGUGGAUGGCGCACUCCUGAGGCCUAUAUCUGCCAUCUGAGGUGACCGCCUCACCUUGCCUCAUGGGCGGGCCGGCCCUGUUCCUAUGCAGCCCUGCAACAAGAAGUCUGUAAAAUAAGGCAGUCUCAUGGGCAGUUAUCUUCAGGUUCUUCUGAGGCAGACAGACAGACAGACAGAUAGAUGUAAUUUAGAAUACUCAUGUAAGGUAAAG